RNAcentral lists this long non-coding RNA (586 nucleotides) under Heterocephalus glaber (naked mole-rat). Its description in RNAcentral is "lncRNA (ENSHGLG00100046792.1)". The record is from RNAcentral. Lineage: Eukaryota; Metazoa; Chordata; Mammalia; Rodentia; Bathyergidae.
GCCACGUACACUUUCACUAGAAUUCAGUGGAUGCUCGAGAUGGUCUCAGGUAAAGUUUUAACCCUGAAAGAGUUCUGGAAGGAAGAUUACUACAUACUUUCCUGUAUGACAUUAAUUGAGAAAUCCUGGGCCAAUGUCUGUCUGAGGAAACGUAGAUCUGCCUGUUCACAGGAUAGAGACUUUGAAGACUGUGUAGAGGAGCUUUCAAUUGACCAACUUGAGUUACAACCAGCCCUUGGAAAUCAAUUGACAGUCUAGCAGCUUUCUUUCAGGGUGUUCCGGUUCCUGCCCACAGCACGGUGAGAUCUCGGGAGUGGCUUGGAGCCCCACCUUCAUACGGUGCUCCUCUACGUGGGUCAGCCAAUCAGUGUGAAGCUCCUCGGCUGUGUUCCAUUUCCUGCCCAUGGCACGGUAUCUCCCCAUUAAUGGUGAAAUCUUGGAAACAGCCCAGUUGCCCAUCAACAGAUGAAUGAAGAAAAUAUGGUUUUUAUAUACAAUGGAGUACUACACUUAUAAAGAACGAUACACUUGAGACAUUUUAAAGUAAAUGGAUGCACCUCGAGAACAUAAGUGAAAUAAGUUGGAC